RNAcentral lists this long non-coding RNA (1620 nucleotides) under Homo sapiens (human). RNAcentral's name for it is "non-protein coding lnc-XK-1:1". The record is from RNAcentral. Lineage: Eukaryota; Metazoa; Chordata; Mammalia; Primates; Hominidae.
GUAUCAGUCUCUCCACUUUCUUACAUUCAAUUCUGUUGUCAAAUGUUAAGACUGUUUCCUCUCAUUCAGUGGAAAUUUCCUUCAGCUUAUUUUUCCUGGAAAUGGAAAACAGCUGCGCAGAGCCUUCAUUCAACCCUCUACUCAAAGGCUCUUAUUUGCAUCAUCAACUAUUUGCUUUUCUCUAUCCCAAUCUAUCAAUAAACUAAGUUCACAUCUCUUCUUCAGAGCAUUUUUCUCCCUCAGUGUGGAUGCCCCAUCCUCAUAAAAGCAUGACACUUAGUCAUUGUUUAUACUGUCAUUCCUACCUAGAAACGUCUUUCCCUCUUAAUUUUUUUGGAAAAAUGUACCCCAUCUUCCUUCAAGACUUAGCCAGGGAGAGAGCUCUGGAGCACAUUUGGGAAGGCAUGAAAUGGGGAAGCCCCCAGGAAGGAAGGUAGACAAAUCCUCAGGGGACACAGCCUGGUUUUCUCCUCUGUGUAGACUCCUAAUGUGCCAUUCCCAAGAUGCUCCUCAAUAUUGACGAGUGGGGUUUUCUGGAACUGUACAUUCCUAAGAGCCAGUUGACUUCUAGAGUGAAAUACAGAAUGUGGGAAUCUCCAGAGAAAGAAAGCCCAAGGCAAAAGAGUAAGUAACUCUUAGAGUCUCAGACAUGGAAAGAUAACUGGUAACACUUGGCUGCUGGAGAAUGAAACCCCUCCUAAAGGCAGAUAUUCAGGCCUGUGAUAGAAUCAUUGAAUUUCAUCUACCUAGUUCCCAUCAGGCCUGGGGAAAUGGGGAUAAGCUGCAGAGUCUACAUGGUCUUACAGAAGCUGAAGCAAGUUGCAGAGAAAUUUCAAGGACUUUUAAGUCCAGUAUACCUUGGAUUUGGGGCACUACUCCAGCACAAAUUCCUCCCUGCUUCAUGCAGAUUUUCAUUGCCGAUGGCCCCACUUCCAGAACCAGAAAUUCCAACAUUCCUAUGGCGGUCUUACUUUCCGUUGCCCCAGGAAGCAGAAAUGGGGACAAGACUGCAAGACUGACCAUGAGACCAUGGCCUGGACUGAGGGGCUCAGCUACUUUCUUAAGUACCUUCAGACCAGAGAUAACAGCUGUUUGGAACAUAUAAAUGAGACCUUGUCUCUGGAACAAUCAUCUGGCUUUGGUUAUUCAUUAUCAUUGAACCCCACAUGCCUCACUUAGAAAGAUGUCCCUUCCAAAGCUCAGAGGCCCUCACCAUCGCAUGCAUGCUCCUCUCCUAGUACACUUCUGGAGUGGCCUGAAGAGCUGGAGAAGUGGGCACUCAGCUCACAUCUCAACCCAGAUCUCCACAGAUCACAUCCUUGUUUCUGUCACAUCAGUAGUCAGUAGUGCCCCCAUCUCAUUUAUAUCCAAAUUAAGAACAUCUUAAUAUGAGAUUUCAUCCUUUCCAGAUUGACCCAUCUGGAUUUGGAUAUCUCAGUAACAAGAUACUUUGUCCUUUUUCAUCAUUACUUAGCUCCUCAGUUUGCAAUAUUUGUGUGUCCCUAUUAUUCUUGUCCAGUUAUACAAGCCUUGAGGUAAUGCACUGUCUUUUAUUAGUUUUUCAGACUCCACACAGAGAUUGACACAGCACUGGCAGAACACAUAGAUACCAUUGCUUAA